GAACGAACGCUGGCGGCGCGUUUAAGCAUGCAAGUCGAGCGGCAAGGGCCUUCGGGCCCCUAGAGCGGCGGACGGGUGAGUAACACGUGGACAAUCUGCCCCCCGGCCCGGGAUAGCCCAGGGAAACCUGGAUUAAUACCGGAUGAGACGGGACCUGCGAUGGCGGGAUCCGGGAAAGGCGCUACGGCGCCGCCGGGGGAUGAGUCUGCGUCCCAUUAGCUAGACGGCGGGGUAACGGCCCACCGUGGCGACGAUGGGUAGCCGGCCUGAGAGGGUGGACGGCCACAUUGGAACUGAGACACGGUCCAGACUCCUACGGGAGGCAGCAGCUAAGAAUCUUCCGCAAUGGGCGAAAGCCUGACGGAGACCGACGCCGCGUGAACGAAGAAGGCCGUGAGGUUGUAAAGUUCUUUUCGGGAGGGGAACAACCGUGGCAGGGAAUGGCCGCGGGAUGACGUGAAUCCCGGAAUAAGCCCCGGCUAACUACGUGCCAGCCGCCGC
RNAcentral lists this ribosomal RNA (501 nucleotides) under uncultured bacterium. Its description in RNAcentral is "bacterial SSU rRNA". It matches the Rfam family "Bacterial small subunit ribosomal RNA", at positions 27 to 518 of the family's 1533-position model. The record is from RNAcentral.